AGAUUGAACGCUGGCGGCAGGCCUAACACAUGCAAGUCGAGCGGCAGCACGGGUACUUGUACCUGGUGGCGAGCGGCGGACGGGUGAGUAAUGCCUAGGAUCUGCCUGAUAGGUGGGGGAUAACGUUCGGAAACGGACGCUAAUACCGCAUACGUCCUACGGGAGAAAGUGGGGAUCUUCGGACCUCACGCUAUCAGAUGAGCCUAGGUCGAUUAGCUUAGGUUGGUAAGGGUAAAGGCCUAACCAAGGCUAACGGACUACCGUAACGUGGUCUGGAGAGGAUGAUCAGUCACACGUCGAACUGAGAC
RNAcentral lists this ribosomal RNA (308 nucleotides) under uncultured soil bacterium. RNAcentral's name for it is "bacterial SSU rRNA". It matches the Rfam family "Bacterial small subunit ribosomal RNA", at positions 26 to 325 of the family's 1533-position model. The record is from RNAcentral.